This 441-nucleotide ribosomal RNA is filed under the name uncultured bacterium. Its description in RNAcentral is "bacterial SSU rRNA". It matches the Rfam family "Bacterial small subunit ribosomal RNA", at positions 958 to 1398 of the family's 1533-position model. The record is from RNAcentral.
AACGCGAAGAACCUUACCCAGACUUGACAUCCACGGAAUCCUGCAGAGAUGCGGGAGUGCCCGCAAGGGAGCCGUGAGACAGGUGCUGCAUGGCUGUCGUCAGCUCGUGUCGUGAGAUGUUGGGUUAAGUCCCGCAACGAGCGCAACCCUCGCCUUCAGUUGCCAGCAUUCAGUUGGGCACUCUGGAGGGACUGCCGGUGUCAAGCCGGAGGAAGGUGGGGAUGACGUCAAGUCCUCAUGGCCUUUAUGUCUGGGGCUACACACGUGCUACAAUGGCCGGUACAAAGGGCUGCAAAGGCGCGAGCCGGAGCCAAUCCCAGAAAACCGGUCCCAGUUCGGAUCGAAGUCUGCAACUCGACUUCGUGAAGUCGGAAUCGCUAGUAAUCGCGGAUCAGAACGCCGCGGUGAAUACGUUCCCGGGCCUUGUACACACCGGUACUA